Molecule: ribosomal RNA, 431 nt
Filed under: uncultured bacterium
Lineage: Bacteria
Description: bacterial SSU rRNA
Rfam family: Bacterial small subunit ribosomal RNA
Source: RNAcentral
UCAGGCCUAACACAUGCAAGUCGAGCGCGAAAGCCCUUCGGGGUGAGUUCAGCGGCGGCGGGUGAGUAAGGCGUGGGAAUUUGCUCAGUAGAGGGGGACAACAACCGGAAACGGUGGAUAAUACCGCAUACGCCGUACGGGGGAAAGCAGGGGAUCUUAGGACCUUGCGCUAUUGGAUGAGCCCGGGUCAGAUUAGAUAGUUGGUGGGGUAAAAGCAUACCAAGGCGACGAUCUGUAGCUGGUNUGAGAGGAUGAUCAGCCACACNGGAACUGAGACACGNUCCAGACUCCUACGGGAGGCAGCAGUGGGGANUGCACAANGGGGGAAACCGGGAUGCAGCCAUGCCGCGCGUGUGAAGAAGGCUUCAGGGUUGUAAAGCACUGUAAGCAGUGAGGAAGGAAACAUAGGUUAAUACCNUAGAUGACGUAAC